AUUGAACGCUGGCGGCAUGCCUUACACAUGCAAGUCGAACGGCAGCACGGGAGCAAUCCUGGUGGCGAGUGGCGAACGGGUGAGUAAUAUAUCGGAACGUGCCCGGUCGUGGGGAUAACGUAGCGAAAGCUACGCUAAUACCGCAUACGUCCUACGGGAGAAAGCAGGGGACCUUCGGGCCUUGCGUUAUCAGAUGAGCCUAGGUCGGAUUAGCUAGUAGGUGAGGUAAUGGCUCACCUAGGCGACGAUCCGUAACUGGUCUGAGAGGAUGAUCAGUCACACUGGGACUGAGACACGGCCCAGACUCCUACGGGAGGCAGCAGUGGGGAAUUUUGGACAAUGGGCGCAAGCCUGAUCCAGCAAUGCCGCGUGCAGGAUGAAGGCCU
RNAcentral lists this ribosomal RNA (386 nucleotides) under uncultured bacterium. RNAcentral's name for it is "bacterial SSU rRNA". It matches the Rfam family "Bacterial small subunit ribosomal RNA", at positions 30 to 417 of the family's 1533-position model. The record is from RNAcentral.